Molecule: long non-coding RNA, 711 nt
Organism: Capra hircus (goat)
Lineage: Eukaryota; Metazoa; Chordata; Mammalia; Artiodactyla; Bovidae
Exons: 3
Source: RefSeq, a predicted model, not a curated record
AUUUCCUUCUCCAGGGGAUCUUCCCAACACAGGGAUCCAAGUCAGGUCUCCUGCACUGCGGCAAGAUUUGUUACUGUCUGAGCUACCAGGGAAGUCCCAACAGCUCAGGUGGCCCCGAAGAAGACAACCGCCCUGCGAGGUGAUUUUCACGGUUCCGGGUUUGCAGCAGGCGAAACCGCCUCUCCCAAGGUCACCGUGCAACAAAGGACUCAAGGUAAGCUCCAUGAUGACAGAUGCCUACCUGCCUUCUUCACUUAGUGGCAAGCAUUCCAUAGACCCUUGCUGAAUGCGGGUCUGUUGCCCCCUCAGAGCAACCCUGGGAAAAAGGCACCAUUAUGGCCUAUAUUUCACAGACUAGGACAUAGAGAUACACAAAGACUAAGAAACCUGUCCAAGAUCACAGUGGAGAAACUGAGAUUCAACCCGUGUCCUGACCAGAGCUGGGCUCUUAAACCACUAUAAGAACUACCAUGUCUUAAGCAGCAACCUUCCUUCCCAGCAAGAAACUGAAUCACUCACCUAAGAAUGUCAAUUAUAUCUGCCUUACUGCCACUUAAUCCGAAGCUUAUUUUUUCCCAGAUAACUAUUAAAAAUCCAGAACCAAUACCCACGUGGCCCACCUGUGGUAAUUGUGGCAAUUUCUUUCCUAUUUAAAAACUGUACCAUCCACAACAGAAAGCUACCUCCAAAGUCCCAAAGCAGGUUAAAGAU